GACGAACGCUGGCGGCGUGCUUAACACAUGCAAGUCGAACGGAAAGGCCCUGCUUUUGUGGGGUGCUCGAGUGGCGAACGGGUGAGUAACACGUGAGUAACCUGCCCUUGACUUUGGGAUAACUUCAGGAAACUGGGGCUAAUACCGGAUAGGAGCUCCUGCUGCAUGGUGGGGGUUGGAAAGUUUCGGCGGUUGGGGAUGGACUCGCGGCUUAUCAGCUUGUUGGUGGGGUAGUGGCUUACCAAGGCUUUGACGGUAGCCGGCCUGAGAGGGUGACCGGCCACAUUGGGACUGAGAUACGGCCCAGACUCCUACGGGAGGCAGCAGUGGGGAAUAUUGCACAGUGGGCGGAAGCCUGAUGCAGCAACGCCGCGUGCGGGAUGACGGCCUUCGGGUUGUAAACCGCUUUCGCCUGUGACGAAGCGUGAGUGACGGUAAUGGGUAAAGAAGCACCGGCUAACUACGUG
RNAcentral lists this ribosomal RNA (467 nucleotides) under uncultured bacterium. Its description in RNAcentral is "partial 16S ribosomal RNA". It matches the Rfam family "Bacterial small subunit ribosomal RNA", at positions 28 to 507 of the family's 1533-position model. The record is from RNAcentral.